Molecule: long non-coding RNA, 210 nt
Filed under: Elaeis guineensis (African oil palm)
Lineage: Eukaryota; Viridiplantae; Streptophyta; Magnoliopsida; Arecales; Arecaceae
Description: long non-coding RNA (EGUI_LNC045492)
Source: RNAcentral
UAGGAUAGUUGGAUUUUACCAUGGAUGGUGAACUGAGCCAAGAUUUGAUCCUACAGUCUCUUUCUGACUCCUAUUCUCAGUUUGUUAUUAAUUAUCAUAUGAAUAAACUGAACAUUAGCUUGCCUGAACUGCUAAACAUGUUAAAAACUACAGAGAGCCAUUUCAAAGGUGAAAAGACUCAGGUUUUUCAUGUUGAUAAGAUCAGCAAGA